AACGAACGCUGGCGGCAUGCCUAACACAUGCAAGUCGAACGAGCCCUUCGGGUCUAGUGGCGCACGGGUGCGUAACGCGUGGGAACCUGCCCUUAGGUUCGGAAUAACUCCCCGAAAGGGGUGCUAAUACCGGAUAAUGUCUUCGGACCAAAGAUUUAUCGCCUUUGGAUGGGCCCGCGUUGGAUUAGCUAGUUGGUAGGGUAAAAGCCUACCAAGGCGACGAUCCAUAGCUGGUCUGAGAGGAUGAUCAGCCACACUGGGACUGAGACACGGCCCAGACUCCUACGGGAAGCAGCAGUGGGGAAUAUUGGACAAUGGGCGAAAGCCUGAUCCAGCAAUGCCGCGUGAGUGAUGAAGGCCUUAGGGUUGUAAAGCUCUUUUACCCGGGAUGAUAAUGACAGUACCGGGAGAAUAAGCUCCGGCUAACUCCGUG
This 433-nucleotide ribosomal RNA is filed under the name uncultured bacterium. Its description in RNAcentral is "partial 16S ribosomal RNA". It matches the Rfam family "Bacterial small subunit ribosomal RNA", at positions 29 to 507 of the family's 1533-position model. The record is from RNAcentral.